Small nuclear RNA from Sciurus vulgaris (Eurasian red squirrel), 64 nucleotides. Its record names the gene U7. It matches the Rfam family "U7 small nuclear RNA". From Rfam's summary of the family: Animal histone pre-mRNAs are spliced by a different mechanism than nuclear pre-mRNAs and self-splicing introns. This processing involves the U7 snRNP, which contains only one RNA species: U7. The record is from Ensembl. Lineage: Eukaryota; Metazoa; Chordata; Mammalia; Rodentia; Sciuridae.
UCGAGUUUACAGCUCUUUUAGAAUCUGCCUAGAAGCUUUUCCAGUUUUUGCCAGAAACACCCCA